This 254-nucleotide ribosomal RNA is filed under the name uncultured bacterium. Its description in RNAcentral is "partial 16S ribosomal RNA". It matches the Rfam family "Bacterial small subunit ribosomal RNA", at positions 524 to 776 of the family's 1533-position model. The record is from RNAcentral.
UACGGGGGGAGCAAGCGUUGUUCGGAUUUACUGGGCGUAAAGGGCGCGUAGGCGGCCACCGCAAGUCGGUUGUGAAAUCUCCGGGCUUAACUCGGAAAGGUCAACUGAUACUGUGCGACUAGAGUGCAGAAGGGGCAACUGGAAUUCUCGGUGUAGCGGUGAAAUGCGCAGAUAUCAGGAAGAACACCAAUGGCGAAGGCAGCUCUCUGGGACGGUACUGACGCUGAGACGCGAAAGCGUGGGGAGCGAACAGG